UCGGGAAUUUUGGGCAAUGGGUGAGAGCCUGAUCCAGCCAUGCCGCGUGCAGGAAGAAGGCGUUAUGCGUUGUAAACUGCUUUUGCCAGGGGAUAAAAAGACCGUGCGCGGUUAAUUGAAGGUACCUGGUGAAUAAGCCACGGCUAACUACGUGCCAGCAGCCGCGGUAAUACGUAGGUGGCAAGCGUUGUCCGGAUUUAUUGGGUUUAAAGGGUGCGUAGGUGGCCCUGUAAGUCAGUGGUGAAAUAUCUCAGCUUAACUGAGAGGGUGCCAUUGAUACUGCAGGGCUUGAGUACAGAUGAGGUAGGCGGAAUUGACGGUGUAGCGGUGAAAUGCAUAGAUAUCGUCAAGAACACCGAUAGCGAAGGCAGCUUACCAAGCUGUAACUGACACUGAGGCACGAAAGUGUGGGGAUCAAACAGGAUUAGAUACCCCCGUAGUCCCUGAGCGGGCUGGCAAGGCGCAU
RNAcentral lists this ribosomal RNA (466 nucleotides) under uncultured bacterium. Its description in RNAcentral is "bacterial SSU rRNA". It matches the Rfam family "Bacterial small subunit ribosomal RNA", at positions 355 to 825 of the family's 1533-position model. The record is from RNAcentral.